UACGUAGGGGGCAAGCGUUGUCCGGAAUCAUUGGGCGUAAAGAGCGUGUAGGCGGCCAGAUAAGUCCGCUGUGAAAUCUCGAGGCUCAACUUCGAGCUGUCGGUGGAAACUGUCUGGCUAGAGUCCGGAAGAGGAGAAUGGAAUUCCCGGUGUAGCGGUGAAAUGCGCAGAUAUCGGGAAGAACACCCGUGGCGAAGGCGGUUCUCUGGGACGGUACUGACGCUGAGACGCGAAAGCGUGGGGAGCGAACAGG
Molecule: ribosomal RNA, 253 nt
Filed under: uncultured bacterium
Lineage: Bacteria
Description: partial 16S ribosomal RNA
Rfam family: Bacterial small subunit ribosomal RNA
Source: RNAcentral